UACGUAGGGGGCAAGCGUUGUUCGGAUUUACUGGGCGUAAAGGGCGCGUAGGCGGCGCGGUAAGUCACUUGUGAAAUCUCUGAGCUUAACUCAGAACGGCCAAGUGAUACUGCAGUGCUAGAGUGCAGAAGGGGCAAUCGGAAUUCUUGGUGUAGCGGUGAAAUGCGUAGAUAUCAAGAGGAACACCUGAGGUGAAGACGGGUUGCUAGGCUGACACUGACGCUGAGGCGCGAAAGCCAGGGGAGCAAACGGG
Molecule: ribosomal RNA, 253 nt
Filed under: uncultured bacterium
Lineage: Bacteria
Description: partial 16S ribosomal RNA
Rfam family: Bacterial small subunit ribosomal RNA
Source: RNAcentral